UACGUAGGCAGCAAGCGUUGUUCGGAGUUACUGGGCGUAAAGGGUGUGUAGGCGGUUGUUUAAGUUUGGUGUGAAAUCUCCCGGCUCAACUGGGAGGGUGCGCCGAAUACUGAAUGACUAGAGUGCGGGAGAGGAAAGUGGAAUUCCUGGUGUAGCGGUGAAAUGCGUAGAGAUCAGCAGGAACACCCGUGGCGAAGGCGGCCCCCUGGGCCGUACCUGACGCUGAGGCGCGAAGGCUAGGGGAGCGAACGGG
RNAcentral lists this ribosomal RNA (253 nucleotides) under uncultured bacterium. RNAcentral's name for it is "partial 16S ribosomal RNA". It matches the Rfam family "Bacterial small subunit ribosomal RNA", at positions 524 to 776 of the family's 1533-position model. The record is from RNAcentral.